AGUGAACGCUGGCGGUAGGCCUAGCACAUGCAAGUCGAACGGCAGCACAGUAAGAGCUUGCUCUUACGGGUGGCGAGUGGCGGACGGGUGCGGAAUACAUCGGAAUCUACUUUUUCGUGGGGGAUAACGUAGGGAAACUUACGCUAAUACCGCAUACGACCUACGGGUGAAAGCAGGGGAUCUUCGGACCUUGCGCGAUUGAAUGAGCCGAUGUCGGAUUAGCUAGUUGGCGGGGUAAAGGCCCACCAAGGCGACGAUCCGUAGCUGGUCUGAGAGGAUGAUCAGCCACACUGGAACUGAGACACGGUCCAGACUCCUACGGGAGGCAGCAGUGGGGAAUAUUGGACAAUGGGCGCAAGCCUGAUCCAGCCAUACCGCGUGGGUGAAGAAGGCCUUCGGGUUGUAAAGCCCUUUUGUUGGGAAAGAAAAGCAGCAGGUUAAUACCCCGCUGUUCUGACGGUACCCAAAGAAUAAGCACCGGCUAACUUCGUG
Molecule: ribosomal RNA, 492 nt
Filed under: uncultured bacterium
Lineage: Bacteria
Description: partial 16S ribosomal RNA
Rfam family: Bacterial small subunit ribosomal RNA
Source: RNAcentral